CGGAUGCUUGCACUCAAUUGGAAAGAGGAGUGGCGGACGGGUGAGUAACACGUGGGUAACCUACCCAUCAGAGGGGGAUAACACUUGGAAACAGGUGCUAAUACCGCAUAACAGUUUAUGCCGCAUGGCAUAAGAGUGAAAGGCGCUUUCGGGUGUCGCUGAUGGAUGGACCCGCGGUGCAUUAGCUAGUUGGUGAGGUAACGGCUCACCAAGGCCACGAUGCAUAGCCGACCUGAGAGGGUGAUCGGCCACACUGGGACUGAGACACGGCCCAGACUCCUACGGGAGGCAGCAGUAGGGAAUCUUCGGCAAUGGACGAAAGUCUGACCGAGCAACGCCGCGUGAGUGAAGAAGGUUUUCGGAUCGUAAAACUCUGUUGUUAGAGAAGAACAAGGACGUUAGUAACUGAACGUCCCCUGACGGUAUCUAACCAGAAAGCCACGGCUAACUACGUGCCAGCAGCCGCGGUAAUACGUAGGUGGCAAGCGUUGUCCGGAUUUAUUGGGCGUAAAGCGAGCGCAGGCGGUUUCUUAAGUCUGAUGUGAAAGCCCCCGGCUCAACCGGGGAGGGUCAUUGGAAACUGGGAGACUUGAGUGCA
This 598-nucleotide ribosomal RNA is filed under the name Enterococcus faecalis. RNAcentral's name for it is "bacterial SSU rRNA". It matches the Rfam family "Bacterial small subunit ribosomal RNA", at positions 63 to 650 of the family's 1533-position model. The record is from RNAcentral. Lineage: Bacteria; Bacillati; Bacillota; Bacilli; Lactobacillales; Enterococcaceae.